ACGCCUAGCAGCUAGCCCGCUCAAACAAAAACAACACAUAAAUACUCAUAACCCCUAAUACACCCAACAACCAAACUAAAUCAUUCUUCCCCCUAAGUAUAGGAGAUAGAAAAGGAACCAGGCGCGAUAGAAAAAGUACCGCAAGGGAACGCUGAAAGAGAAAUGAAAUAAUUCAGUAAAGCACAACAAAGCAGAGUUUUAUCCUCGUACCUUUUGCAUCAUGUUUUAGCUAGAGCCACUCAAGCAAAAAGCAUUUUAGUUUGAAUACCCGAAACUAGGCGAGCUACUCCAAGACAGCCUGACAACAGGGCCAACCCGUCUCUGUGGCAAAAGAGUGGGAAGAGCUUCGAGUAGAGGUGACAGACCUACCGAGCCUAGUUAUAGCUGGUUACCUGAAAAUUGAAUAGGAGUUCAGCCUCUUGAAUUCUUUCUUCCUUAAUAGUUGUUCUUAAUUAAGACACAAAGAAAUCUAGAGAGUUAGUCAAAGGGGGUACAGCCCCUUUGAAACAAGACACAACUUUACCCAGGAGGCUAAGGAUCAAGCUCAACCAAGGCACAAUAUUUUGGUGGGCCUAAUAGCAGCCACCCCAAACAGAAAGCGUUAAAGCUCAAAUAUACCACAAGCCCCUAAUCCUGAUUAUUUUUCCAACGCCCCUAACCCUAUCAGGUCUUCCUAUAAUUACAUAUAGGAGCGACUAUGCUAGUAUGAGUAACAAGAGAGCCCUGACUCUCUCCGUACACAAGUGUAAUUCGGAACGGACCCCCCACCGAGCAUUAACGGCCCCAAAAAAAGAGGGAACCGGACCAUAAACAAAAAACUAGAAACCCACCCAAAAGAUACCGUUAACCCCACACUGGUGUGUCCCCACGGAAAGACUAAAAGAAAAAGAAGGAACUCGGCAAAAAUUCCUCGAGCCUCGCCUGUUUACCAAAAACAUCGCCUCUUGUCAAACAAGAAUAAGAGGUCUCGCCUGCCCUGUGACUAUAAGUUUAACGGCCGCGGUAUUUUAACCGUGCGAAGGUAGCGCAAUCACUUGUCUUUUAAAUGAAGACCCGUAUGAAUGGCACGACGAGGGCUUAACUGUCUCCUUUUUCUAGUCAAUGAAAUUGAUCUCCCCGUGCAGAAGCGGGGAUAAACCCAUAAGACGAGAAGACCCUGUGGAGCUUUAGACAAAAGAACAGACCAUGUCAAAAAUCCCCCGGAUAAGGGAAAGAACUAAUUAGACCCUGUUCUAAUGUCUUUGGUUGGGGCGACCACGGGGAAACGAAAAUCCCCCAUGUGGAAUGGAACCACACACACACCUUCUACAACCGAGAGUUACAACUCUAAGCAACAGAAAUUCUGACCAUAAUGAUCCGGCACCGCCGAUCAACGGAACGAGUUACCCCAGGGAUAACAGCGCAAUCCUCUUUUAGAGCCCAUAUCGACAAGGGGGUUUACGACCUCGAUGUUGGAUCAGGACAUCCUAAUGGUGCAGCCGCUAUUAAGGGUUCGUUUGUUCAACGAUUAAAGUCCUACGUGAUCUGAGUUCAGACCGGAGUAAUCCAGGUCGGUUUCUAUCUAUGAAAUGAUCUCUUCUAGUACGAAAGGACCGAAGAGAGGAGGCCCAUGCUCUAAGUACGCCUCAUCCCCACCUAAUGCAGCCAACUAAACUAGGCAAGAGGACAUACCUCUUAUGCCUUAGAUAAUGGCAAA
Molecule: ribosomal RNA, 1696 nt
Filed under: Hypoatherina tsurugae (cobaltcap silverside)
Lineage: Eukaryota; Metazoa; Chordata; Actinopteri; Atheriniformes; Atherinidae
Description: 16S rRNA
Rfam family: Bacterial large subunit ribosomal RNA
Source: RNAcentral